UACGUAGGGUGCGAGCGUUGUCCGGAAUUAUUGGGCGUAAAGAGCUCGUAGGCGGUCUGUCGCGUCGGUCGUGAAAACUUGGGGCUUAACCCUGAGCUUGCGGUCGAUACGGGCAUGACUGGAGUUCGGCAGGGGAGACUGGAAUUCCUGGUGUAGCGGUGAAAUGCGCAGAUAUCAGGAGGAACACCGGUGGCGAAGGCAGCUCGCUGGAACGGUACUGACGCUGAGGCGCGAAAGCGUGGGGAGCGAACAGG
RNAcentral lists this ribosomal RNA (254 nucleotides) under uncultured bacterium. RNAcentral describes it as "partial 16S ribosomal RNA". It matches the Rfam family "Bacterial small subunit ribosomal RNA", at positions 524 to 776 of the family's 1533-position model. The record is from RNAcentral.